This 512-nucleotide ribosomal RNA is filed under the name uncultured bacterium. Its description in RNAcentral is "partial 16S ribosomal RNA". It matches the Rfam family "Bacterial small subunit ribosomal RNA", at positions 28 to 523 of the family's 1533-position model. The record is from RNAcentral.
GAUGAACGCUGGCGGCAUGCCUAAUACAUGCAAGUCGAACGAGAGGAAGGAAAGCUUGCUUUCCUGAAUCUAGUGGCGAACGGGUGAGUAACACGUAAGUAACCUGCCCAUGUGCAUGGGAUAACUUCUGGAAGCGGAUGCUAAAACCGGAUAGGUAGCAGACAAGCAUUUGACUGCUAUUAAAGUGGCCUUGGCCAUGAACAUGGAUGGACCUGCGGUGCAUUAGCUGGUUGGUGAGGUAACGGCCCACCGAGGCGACGAUGCAUAGCCGGCCUGAGAAGGCGGACGGCCACAUUGGGACUGAGACACGGCCCAAACUCCUACGGGAGGCAGCAGUAGGGAAUUUUCGUCAAUGGGGGGAACCCUGAACGAGCAAUGCCGCGUGAGUGAGGAAGGUCUUCGGAUCGUAAAGCUCUGUUGUAAGAGAAAAACGGCACUCAUAGGGAAUGAUGAGUGAGUGAUGGUAUCUUACCAGAAAGUCACGGCUAACUACGUGCCAGCAGCCGCAGUAA